Molecule: long non-coding RNA, 295 nt
Filed under: Nicotiana benthamiana
Lineage: Eukaryota; Viridiplantae; Streptophyta; Magnoliopsida; Solanales; Solanaceae
Description: long non-coding RNA (NBEN_LNC010272)
Source: RNAcentral
UGGAAACUUACCGGAAUCAGGUCGAGGACGUCGGAAAGCUACCCAAAGCGUCCACCCAGGUAAGAUCGAACUAUCAGAUAGCGGUAAAAGUUCCGAUUGACCGCUCGAUACACAUAGAGUUUGUCAACAACAAAAUCUCUCACAAAUAUCCAAAAAAAAUCUUCAAUACAACUCUGACAGAGUUAAUAACAAAUGACGAAGAUGCGUCCGAAGAUCGCCCGCUCUGAUACCAUGAAAACAUAGCAAAAUGGAGAUGAAGAUGAGAUGAAGAAGAGUCAGUUUUCAGAGAGCUCCC